Molecule: ribosomal RNA, 990 nt
Filed under: Ditylum brightwellii
Lineage: Eukaryota; Bacillariophyta; Thalassiosirophyceae; Lithodesmiales; Lithodesmiaceae
Description: partial Bacterial large subunit ribosomal RNA
Rfam family: Bacterial large subunit ribosomal RNA
Source: RNAcentral
GGCGGCCGUAACAAUAACGGUCCUAAGGUAGCGAAAUUCCUUGUCGGGUAAGUUCCGACCUGCACGAAUGGCGUAACGAUGGCGGCGCUGUCUCCACCCGAGACUCAGUGAAAUUGAAAUCGCUGUGAAGAUGCAGUGUAUCCGCGGCUAGACGGAAAGACCCCGUGAACCUUUACUAUAGCUUUGCACUGGACUUUGAAUUUGCUUGUGUAGGAUAGGUGGGAGGCUUUGAAGCGUGGACGCCAGUUCGCGUGGAGCCAACCUUGAAAUACCACCCUGGUAAUUUCGGAGUUCUAACCUCGAUCGGUAUAUCCCGGUCAGGGACAAUGUAUGGUGGGUAGUUUGACUGGGGCGGUCUCCUCCCAAAGAGUAACGGAGGAGUGCGAAGGUAACCUCAGCGCGGUCGGAAAUCGCGCAGUGAGUGCAUAGGCAUAAGGUUGCUUGACUGCAAGACAAACAAGUCGAGCAGGUACGAAAGUAGGUCUAAGUGAUCCGGUGGUUCUGUAUGGAAGGGCCAUCGCUCAACGGAUAAAAGGUACUCUGGGGAUAACAGGCUGAUACUGCCCAAGAGUCCAUAUCGACGGCAGUGUUUGGCACCUCGAUGUCGGCUCAUCGCAUCCUGGGGCUGUAGCAGGUCCCAAGGGUUUGGCUGUUCGCCAAUUAAAGUGGUACGUGAGCUGGGUUCAGAACGUCGCGAGACAGUUUGGUCCCUAUCUGCCGUGGGCGUUGGAAAUUUGAAGGGGGCUGUUCCUAGUACGAGAGGACCGGAAUGGACGUAUCUCUGGUGUACCGGUUGUCACGCCAGUGGCAUUGCCGGGUAGCUAAAUACGGAAGAGAUAAACGCUGAAAGCAUCUAAGCGUGAAACUUGCCUUAAGAUAAGAUUUCCCUGAGGACUUGAUCCUCCUGAAGGGCCGUUGAAGACCACGACGUUGAUAGGCUGGGUGUGGAAGCGCAGUAAUGCGUUAAGCUAACCAGUACUAAUUGCCCGU